RNAcentral lists this ribosomal RNA (677 nucleotides) under Burkholderia sp. Ms119. Its description in RNAcentral is "bacterial SSU rRNA". It matches the Rfam family "Bacterial small subunit ribosomal RNA", at positions 51 to 723 of the family's 1533-position model. The record is from RNAcentral. Lineage: Bacteria; Pseudomonadati; Pseudomonadota; Betaproteobacteria; Burkholderiales; Burkholderiaceae.
ACACUGCAAGUCGAACGCCAGCGCGUGGAGCAAAUCCUGGCGGCGAGUGGCGAACGGGUGAGUAAUACAUCGGAACGUGUCCUGUAGUGGGGGAUAGCCCGGCGAAAGCCGGAUUAAUACCGCAUACGAUCUACGGAUGAAAGCGGGGGAUCGCAAGACCUCGCGCUAUAGGGGCGGCCGAUGGCGGAUUAGCUAGUUGGUGGGGUAAAGGCCCACCAAGGCGACGAUCCGUAGCUGGUCUGAGAGGACGACCAGCCACACUGGGACUGAGACACGGCCCAGACUCCUACGGGAGGCAGCAGUGGGGAAUUUUGGACAAUGGGCGCAAGCCUGAUCCAGCAAUGCCGCGUGUGUGAAGAAGGCCUUCGGGUUGUAAAGCACUUUUGUCCGGAAAGAAAUCCUCUGGGUUAAUACCCCGGGGGGAUGACGGUACCGGAAGAAUAAGCACCGGCUAACUACGUGCCAGCAGCCGCGGUAAUACGUAGGGUGCGAGCGUUAAUCGGAAUUACUGGGCGUAAAGCGUGCGCAGGCGGUGAUGUAAGACCGAUGUGAAAUCCCCGGGCUUAACCUGGGAACUGCAUUGGUGACUGCAUCGCUGGAGUAUGGCAGAGGGGGGUAGAAUCCACGUGUAGCAGUGAAAUGCGUAGAGAUGUGGAGGAAUACCGAUGGCGAAGGCA